RNAcentral lists this ribosomal RNA (293 nucleotides) under uncultured bacterium. RNAcentral describes it as "partial 16S ribosomal RNA". It matches the Rfam family "Bacterial small subunit ribosomal RNA", at positions 333 to 622 of the family's 1533-position model. The record is from RNAcentral.
AGCUUCCUACGGGGGGCAGCAGUGAGGAAUAUUGGUCAAUGGGCGGAAGCCUGAACCAGCCAAGUCGCGUGAGGGAUUAAGGCCCUAUGGGUCGUAAACCUCUUUUGUCAGGGAGCAAUGGCGUCCACGUGUGGGCGUAUGGAGAGUACCUGAAGAAAAAGCAUCGGCUAACUCCGUGCCAGCAGCCGCGGUAAUACGGAGGAUGCGAGAGUUAUCCGGAUUUAUUGGGUUUAAAGGGUGCGUAGGCGGGUCCUUAAAUCAGCGGUAAAAUUUCGGUGCUCAAAGCCGUAGAG